CAAAAAGUGAAAAGAAAAAAAUCCCAGAGAGCCUCAUAAAAUAGGUAGCUUUUCUAUGGCUCUGAGUCAUUCUUUUAUUUCAGCCAAUAUUUGGAAAACGCUACAACUCAUAGGAAUGCAGAGAAUGCAGAGUUGUAUAGUGGGAAGAACAAGACUUUGGAUUUCAGGCAGAUCAGGGUGACCUUGGGUAAAAUCUCUUAGUCUUGGUUCCCUUUUUUGUGAAAUAACUCAUGAUGUUUGAAAGUUAACCAUUAUAAAACCAGGCCACUACAAGGGACUUAAUAAAGGUGAGUUAUCCGCCUUUUCUCCUGUUCCCAAUUCCUUAACCCUCCGUGCUGUGUGCGCCUACCUACCACCAAAAGGAAAUGUGGAAAAGAAGAGUUGGUGAUCUAAUCUUCAUUUUCAACUUCAGUUAAGCCUAUAUAAUUAUUGCUUUCUUGUGUGCAUAAAGUUUAAUAUUCAGUGGUUCUUGGUGAUCUCUGCAUGUAGUGUGUGGUACACGUGGCCGUAUUUUCCAAACCAAAAAAACUGGGUCUUGUGGUCGUAACGAGAAGCGUAUACUUAGAAGGUCAAGAGAACAGCAGGUUUUACAGUAGUGCAGUCUCGGCGAAUCACAGGUGUGUUCUUAGGGAUCCAAAGGAAGCAGUACAAAGUCAUGGUUAGGAGGCACUGGAGUCCUCUAGACAUGAGUCUGAAUCUUGCCUCUUUCUCCUUCUUGCAAAAGUUACUUAACCUUUCCUUCUAAGCUUCAGCAUUUCCUCACAUGUAAAAUGGAUGUAAGGAAAAUUCCUUAUCUUUUGUGAGGUUUGCAUGAGAUAAAGGACCUAGCAUAGGGCCUGACAGGUAGUAAGUACUUAACUUUAUAUGCCAGCUGUUAAAUUAUUGCAAGACUUUUGGAACGUGUACAAUUAUUCAGUAACUUUUUUUUUUUUUUUUGCAAAAGCCUGUAGAGUAAAAAAAAUUCAAAAUAACUCACCGUUAGGAAUUCCCGUCGUGGCUCAGUGGUUAAUGAACCUGACUAGCAUCCAUGAGGAUGCGGGGUUUGAUUCCUGGCCCCACUCAGUGGGUUAAGCAUCUGGUGUGUUGCCGUGAGCUGUGGUGUAGGUUGCAGACUCAGCCUGGAUCCUGCGUUGCUGUGUCUGUGAUAUAGGCCAGCAGCUACAGCUCCAGUUGGACCCCUAGCCUGGGAACCUCCACAUGCUGCAGGUGCAGCCAUAAAAAGACAAAAUAAAAAACAAAAACAAAAACCCUCACUAUUUUGUAACUUACUGUAUAAUAAUUUCUUUAUCAGGCCUGGUAUAAAAAAGGCACAGAAAUAGUAAAAACCCAGUGCCCAACUUGGCAUACCCCUUGGGAAGACCUCACUUAUUUGCCUUUCUCACAGUAUUUCAGUAACGCCUAGCACCUAGUCCAUUGCCUCUAUGAUGAUCUCUCUGUAGCGUGGAUUUUUUUUGGCUCAUGUAACUUGUACUUGUCGCAGUGGUAGGACAGACUGCACUGUCUCAGGCUUCUUUCCCUGAGAUUCUCUUGGUUUCGCCCUCCCGGGGGUGUUGGCUUCAUCCUAGGCCAACAGCAAAAUAUGGGUAGCAUUUCUGGGCCCAAGAUCCAUUUAUGGCACCUACUAAAGGAGUAGAAAGAUGCUCUCUUCCGUCAUCCUAAGAGUGAGAAUUUUUCCCAGACCCCCUCAGAAUGCUAAUCCUGUAAUGUCAUUGGUCUGAAUUGGGUCAUGUGCCCAUUCCUGAACCACUGCCUGUCACCAGGGCAGUGCCAUGCCUUAUUGGCUUAGGCCUGGUUCUUGAACAGGUUUUUUAUUAAUUCAGGGCGUGAAAUUAUCUUCAGGCCAAUCAGAAAUAGAAUUGUGUUUCUGUUAGGAAGGGAGUUUUUCUGUGAGUAGGAGGAAUGGACUCUGAGUAGAUUGGGCAGUUAGGGAUUGUGUUGACUGCUGAUAACAGAGUUUUAAAUAAGACAAGUUAUUUAUUUUUUCUUUCAAAAAACGUUAAAACAAGCAGUCUCUUGCUGGCAUGGCGGUGCUACAGUCCAGAUCUUUCUGCUUCCCCAUCCUUGUCACAUGGUUGGCAUGCUCAUGGUCACCUUGUUGUCACAAAUGGGCUCCCGGCUCUCUAAUCAAACAGUCCUUCCUUGAAGCAGGAAGAAGUAGAAGGGAGGCCAAGGACACCCUUUAAAGCACCAGAAGCCCCAGCCAGAUGUAAACUAUUAAAAAUUAUCCAUUUUAGUCUGUGAGGAAGGCUGGUGAAUGUCAUUCUUAGCUGGGCACAUCCAUGUGCCCAGCAUCAGAGGGCUUCUGCUGCUGCGGAAGCGAGGGAAGUGGCCAUAGGCCUGGCAGCACGCAGCGCCCACCACCGGAGGCAGCCGGCAGCGUCCUCCAUCCCCUCCACUGGGAGGAAACCAGAGUUUUAUAUGUAUUUACUGUCUUUCUCUUUACGGUUUUUUAAUCAAAUAAUGAGACAUACUUUAUCUAACUUUUUGUAAUUCAUAUUUUCCAUUUAAUCACGAGUAUCUUUCCAUGUGAGUUAAUAUACAGUAGAAGCUUUUUAACCAAUCUCCACAUGAUGGAUGCUGACAGGCCAUUCUUACUAUAAAACCUGUGUUUAAUUCCCAUGGCCUUCUGAGUGUUCUCAGUUAACGACUAGGCUAUGCUGUCCAUUAUAAUAGCCACAGGCCACAGGUGACUGUUGGAAUUUUAGUUAAUUAAAAUUAAAUUGGAGUUCCCGUCAUGGCUCGGUGGUUAUUGAACCUGACUAGCAUCCAUGAGGGCACGGCGCCGGAUCCUUAACCCACUGAGCAAGACCAGGGAUCGAACCCAAAAGCUCAUGGUUCCUACUCAGAUUUGUUUCUGCUGAGCCUCCUCGGGAACUCCAAAUGUUGCCAAUUUUAUCCUUAGAAGUUUGCAUUAGUUUACAAUCUAAAUUUGAAGAGUGAACUGGCUUUCUUUUAAGUUACAAGAUACAGAGUUACUUAUAACCAAAUGUUUCAGGAAAGCUGCAAAGUGUCAGACCAGGUUGAAAAGCAAGCCCAAAUGGCUACAGUACAGAAUUUCAACAUUUGCCAAGGAAUAAGUGUAUUAAGAGGUUUUGAUUAGCUAAUUAUGUUUUUUCCUUAAAAACUAACAUGUUCAUCAAUACCCAAGAUACUUCUGUAUAUAUUCUAUGAAAUGCCAAAGGUAGAUCAACUUCCCUUUUCUCCUUUCCAUGUUUAUGUUUUCCUCAAAAUUGGAACUUUCAUCAAUCUACUUCUUUUCAAAAAUUCAUUGUGUUUAUUUGAAUAGACAAUAAACACAAUGAAUUUGAACACAAUUUAUUUGUACAUUUUAUGGUACAAAAUUCACAAGUUACUCAAAGAUAUAUGGUGGGAAUUCUACUUCUAAUCGUGGCAGUUUAGGUCAUUUGGAUCAGCCCUGCUGAUACAAGUUUAGAAAGCUGGGCAGAAUAUAAAAACAUUUUCUUGAAAACUUCAAAAAGUUUAGAAGAUAUUGAAGGACUGCAUACAAACAUCUGGAAGAAUGCAAAAAUCAAAACAAGUGUGCCAGCUACCAACAAUCAUUUUUACCCUGAAGGUAUCUGCUUAUCCUGAGAAAGCAUCUGUGAGCUUAAGCUGUACUUUGGUGGCUCUUCUAUGAAGGCAGAAUUCAUGGUUUGUUGUCUGUCAAGGAUAGACACAAGUAAACCACUUUGCCAGUUUGAAUAGAACCCCUAAGGACAUGAGGGGGAUCUUGAACUAAACCAGCCCUCACACAGCCCUGCAACCAAGCUUCCAGGCCUGGGGAAGCUUUGUGUUGAUUGUCCUAAGCUAAUAGCAUCAUUGGGCAGCUUACAAAAGCAAGGGAAAAUCCUCUCUAGAGGAAAAUGUUAUCAUCCUAAGCAUCAAAAUCAUCCCCUAAGUGACUUUUGAACUUAAUGAACAGCACCUUAAAACAAAAAACAAAACAAAACAGGUUCACAAGAAGACACCCAUGAAAAGAACUAGAACAUGAAAACAAUAAAAACAUCUUCGGAAUGAAAUAUUGUGAAUAUCAGACACAGACUGUAGAAUAAU
RNAcentral lists this long non-coding RNA (4053 nucleotides) under Sus scrofa (pig). Its description in RNAcentral is "lncRNA (ENSSSCG00000058575.1)". Lineage: Eukaryota; Metazoa; Chordata; Mammalia; Artiodactyla; Suidae. The record is from RNAcentral.